GACAAAUAAUUUUUGGAACAAUAUUAAGGAACAUUUGCGCUAUGGAACAUAAGUUCUCACUAAAGGUCUUAUCUAUGGGAGAAGGAUAUUGAAUUCUGUCGUAAUUUUGAGAAGAUGGGAGAAAGAGGUAAAACAUCUGACAUAACUUAAUUUGUUUAGUUUCUCAUACGAUUUAUACAAUUUCAGUUGAACUAUUUUGUGUCCAUUUAGCAUAGAACACAUGUUUAAAAACGAAUUAAUGUAGAUUAGACACCUAUUUAUAUGGAUAGUUCCUUGUUCGUUUGAUUUUAAGAUAUAUUUUUAUAUA
RNAcentral lists this unclassified non-coding RNA (307 nucleotides) under Arabidopsis thaliana (thale cress). Lineage: Eukaryota; Viridiplantae; Streptophyta; Magnoliopsida; Brassicales; Brassicaceae. The record is from RNAcentral.